Molecule: ribosomal RNA, 850 nt
Filed under: Flavobacterium denitrificans
Lineage: Bacteria; Pseudomonadati; Bacteroidota; Flavobacteriia; Flavobacteriales; Flavobacteriaceae
Description: bacterial SSU rRNA
Rfam family: Bacterial small subunit ribosomal RNA
Source: RNAcentral
GUCGAGGGGUAGAGCACUUCGGUGCUUGAGACCGGCGCACGGGUGCGUAACGCGUAUGCAAUCUGCCUUUCACAGAGGGAUAGCCCAGAGAAAUUUGGAUUAAUACCUCAUAGCAUUACGACUCGGCAUCGAGAUGUAAUUAAAGUCACAACGGUGAAAGAUGAGCAUGCGUCCCAUUAGCUAGUUGGUAAGGUAACGGCUUACCAAGGCAACGAUGGGUAGGGGUCCUGAGAGGGAGAUCCCCCACACUGGUACUGAGACACGGACCAGACUCCUACGGGAGGCAGCAGUGAGGAAUAUUGGUCAAUGGGCGCAAGCCUGAACCAGCCAUGCCGCGUGCAGGAUGACGGUCCUAUGGAUUGUAAACUGCUUUUGUACGGGAAGAAACACUCCUUCGUGAAGGAGCUUGACGGUACCGUAAGAAUAAGGAUCGGCUAACUCCGUGCCAGCAGCCGCGGUAAUACGGAGGAUCCAAGCGUUAUCCGGAAUCAUUGGGUUUAAAGGGUCCGUAGGCGGUCCGGUAAGUCAGUGGUGAAAGCCCAUCGCUCAACGGUGGAACGGCCAUUGAUACUGCUGGACUUGAAUUACUGGGAAGCAACUAGAAUAUGUAGUGUAGCGGUGAAAUGCUUAGAGAUUACAUGGAAUACCAAUUGCGAAGGCAGGUUGCUACCAGUGGAUUGACGCUGAUGGACGAAAGCGUGGGUAGCGAACAGGAUUAGAUACCCUGGUAGUCCACGCCGUAAACGAUGGAUACUAGCUGUUGGGCGCAAGUUCAGUGGCUAUGCGAAAGUGAUAAGUAUCCCACCUGGGGAGUACGUUCGCAAGAAUGAACUCAAAGGAAUUGACGGGG